Molecule: long non-coding RNA, 591 nt
Organism: Micropterus salmoides (largemouth bass)
Lineage: Eukaryota; Metazoa; Chordata; Actinopteri; Centrarchiformes; Centrarchidae
Exons: 3
Source: RefSeq, a predicted model, not a curated record
AGUUUACUGCGGAGUGAGCCGACUUUGUUUCGGCCGUGGAUAUUCCCCGUGUGGAUAGAUGAAUACUGGGCUGCUGGCAUUGGGUAUCUCGUUGGGUGCUGUGUGGAUUGCUUGCCCCCCUGCUGGGGUCUGAUGGUGGCAUGUCCCGUAAAGCGCGGGACCGAGCAACAGCCGUGUGCAUGCUGCUGUCGAGGCUGAUGGGUGCCACAGUUAUCUAAGAGGUUAACACUCCCCGGCGCGUUUCUCCUACUCUUGCUGUUCUGGAUAUCGGUAUAAAACUCUGCUGUGUAUUGAUACAAACAGUGUCUGGAUAUGACUGUCCUGGAUGCACAGAACUGGUUUGGAGUGAUACGUUUAAGUGUUUCAAUAUCCAGACAUUGGCUCUGUAAAUAUUGGCAUUAACUGGAUGUAUAUUGCAUGUGGGUUUGUUUGGGGGGGGGGGUUGAUUUUGAUCCUUUAAUUACGCAUGCAGGUUUGUUUUUGAAUGGUUGGUUUUGUUUUUUUUCUCUAAUACGCAUUAUAUAUCUCUUCUUAAUAGAGCAGGUGUUGCUAUUUUAAUAUAUGACAAAAUAAAAUUGUAUUUUUUAAUUA